UUGCAGAUGAAUUGCGGUGAAAGCCGUAAGCCGCAAGGCAUCUGUGAAGGUGCUGCAUGGUUGUCGUCAGCUCGUGCCGUGAGGUGUCGGCUUAAGUGCCAUAACGAGCGCAACCCUUGUUGUCAGUUACUAACAGGUUCCGCUGAGGACUCUGACAAGACUGCCAUCGUAAGAUGUGAGGAAGGUGGGGAUGACGUCAAAUCAGCACGGCCCUUACGUCCGGGGCUACACACGUGUUACAAUGGGGGGUACAGAGGGCCGCUACCACGCGAGUGGAUGCCAAUCCCCAAAACCUCUCUCAGUUCGGACUGGAGUCUGCAACCCGACUCCACGAAGCUGGAUUCGCUAGUAAUCGCGCAUCAGCCACGGCGCGGUGAAUACGUUCCCGGGCCUUGUACACACCGCCCGUCAAGCCAUGGGAGCCGGGGGUACUUGAAGUGCGUAACCGCGAGGAGCGCCCUAGGGUAAAACUGGUGACUGGGGCUAAGUCGUAACAAGGUAGCCGUACCGGAAGGUGCGGCUGGAUCACCUCCA
RNAcentral lists this ribosomal RNA (534 nucleotides) under uncultured bacterium. RNAcentral's name for it is "bacterial SSU rRNA". It matches the Rfam family "Bacterial small subunit ribosomal RNA", at positions 986 to 1531 of the family's 1533-position model. The record is from RNAcentral.